UACGUAGGCAGCGAGCGUUGUUCGGAGUUACUGGGCGUAAAGGGUGCGUAGGCGGUUCCUUAAGUUUGGUGUGAAAUCUCCCGGCUUAACUGGGAGGGUGCGACGGAUACUGAGGGACUAGAGUGCGGGAGAGGAAAGUGGAAUUCCUGGUGUAGCGGUGAAAUGCGUAGAUAUCAGGAGGAACACCGGUGGUGUAAACGGCUUUCUGGACCGUAACUGACGCUGAGGCACGAAAGCGUGGGGAGCAAACAGG
Molecule: ribosomal RNA, 253 nt
Filed under: uncultured bacterium
Lineage: Bacteria
Description: partial 16S ribosomal RNA
Rfam family: Bacterial small subunit ribosomal RNA
Source: RNAcentral